This 1213-nucleotide unclassified non-coding RNA is filed under the name 'Haplaxius crudus' phytoplasma. RNAcentral's name for it is "bacterial SSU rRNA". It matches the Rfam family "Bacterial small subunit ribosomal RNA", at positions 168 to 1378 of the family's 1533-position model. Lineage: Bacteria; Bacillati; Mycoplasmatota; Mollicutes; Acholeplasmatales; Acholeplasmataceae. The record is from RNAcentral.
GAUGGAUAGGAAAUAAAAAGGCAUCUUUUUAUUUUUAAAAGACCUUCUUCGGAGGGUAUGCUUAAAGAGGGGCUUGCGUCACAUUAGUUAGUUGGUAGGGUAAUGGCCUACCAAGACGAUGAUGUGUAGCUGGACUGAGAGGUUGAACAGCCACAUUGGGACUGAGACACGGCCCAAACUCCUACGGGAGGCAGCAGUAGGGAAUUUUCGGCAAUGGAGGAAACUCUGACCGAGCAACGCCGCGUGAACGACGAAGUACUUCGGUAUGUAAAGUUCUUUUAUUGAAGAAGAAACAAUAGUGGAAAAACUAUCUUGACGUUAUUCAAUGAAUAAGCCCCGGCUAACUAUGUGCCAGCAGCCGCGGUAAUACAUAGGGGGCGAGCGUUAUCCGGAAUUAUUGGGCGUAAAGGGUGCGUAGGCGGUUUAAUAAGUCUCUAGUUUAAUUUCAACGCUUAACGUUGUCCUGCUAGAGAAACUGUUUGACUAGAGUGAGAUAGAGGUAAGCGGAAUUCCAUGUGUAGCGGUAAAAUGUGUAAAUAUAUGGAGGAACACCAGAGGCGUAGGCGGCUUACUGGGUCUUUACUGACGCUGAUGCACGAAAGCGUGGGGAGCAAACAGGAUUAGAUACCCUGGUAGUCCACGCCGUAAACUAUGAGUACUAAGUGUCGGGGUUAAACUCGGUACUGAAGUUAACACAUUAAGUACUCCGCCUGAGUAGUACGUACGCAAGUAUGAAACUUAAAGGAAUUGACGGGAUCCCGCACAAGCGGUGGAUCAUGUUGUUUAAUUCGAAGAUACACGAAAAACCUUACCAGGUCUUGACAUACUCUGCAAAACUAUAGAAAUAUAGUGGAGGUUAUCAGGGAUACAGGUGGUGCAUGGUUGUCGUCAGCUCGUGUCGUGAGAUGUUAGGUUAAGUUCUAAAACGAGCGCAACCCCUGUCGUUAAUUGCCAGCACGUUAUGGUGGGGACUUUAGCGAGACUGCCAAUGAAAAAUUGGAGGAAGGUGGGGAUUACGUCAAAUCAUCAUGCCCCUUAUGAUCUGGGCUACAAACGUGAUACAAUGGCUAUUACAAAGAGUAGCUUAAACGCGAGUUUUUGGCAAAUCUCAAAAAAAUAGUCUUAGUUCGGAUUGAAGUCUGCAACUCGACUUCAUGAAGUUGGAAUCGCUAGUAAUCGCGAAUCAGCAUGUCGCGGUGAAUACGUUGACGGG